CUACGGGCCGCUGCAGUGGGGAAUAUUGCACAAUGGGCGCAAGCCUGAUGCAGCAACGCCGCGUGAGUGAAGAAGGCCUUCGGGUCGUAAAACUCUGUCCUAAGGGAAGAAAAAUGACGGUACCUUAGGAGGAAGCCCCGGCUAACUACGUGCCAGCAGCCGCGGUAAUAGGUAGGGGGCAAGCGUUAUCCGGAAUCACUGGGCGUAAAGGGUGCGUAGGCGGCCUGUCAAGUCAGAAGUGAAAGGCUAUGGCUCAACCAUAGUAAGCUUUUGAAACUGAUGGGCUUGAAUACAGGAGAGGUAAGUGGAAUUCUUAGUGUAGCGGUGAAAUGCGUAGAGAUUAGGAGGAACACCAGUGGCGAAGGCGACUUACUGGACUGUUAUUGACGCUGAGGCACGAAAGCGUGGGGAGCGAACAGGAUUAGAUACCCGCGUAGUC
RNAcentral lists this ribosomal RNA (439 nucleotides) under uncultured bacterium. RNAcentral describes it as "partial 16S ribosomal RNA". It matches the Rfam family "Bacterial small subunit ribosomal RNA", at positions 339 to 795 of the family's 1533-position model. The record is from RNAcentral.